Long non-coding RNA from Astatotilapia calliptera (eastern happy), 1047 nucleotides. NCBI's taxonomy places the organism in Eukaryota, Metazoa, Chordata, Actinopteri, Cichliformes, Cichlidae. The record is from Ensembl.
UGCAACCGCUUGCUACAAAUGGCCACAACAACUAGGAAUUGUCCUUUAAAGCUUUUCCAGAGACCAGGAGAUGGUGCUGUUUCUUAACAAAUGUCCAUCAUUUCCCCUCUAAUCAGACUGGGUCAUGUGGCUGAAAGCAGAGAGAGAACCAGCAGGACUCUGAACAAAUGUUUGAAACCACACUCCAGGACUGUCACAUCAGUGCAGCAGCUGAUUUCACUAAUUAGGCUCUGCUCUCUGUGUGAACACGUGUCAGUCACUUAAAUCUGGUGUUGCUGUGUUUGUUUAGAAGAAAUCCUGCAUCGGCUCAGCACUCAGUGCCUGCUUUGUCACAGUCUGGGGGAGGCAGACUGUAUGAAUAGAAAAAAAAGGACCCAAAACGCAGACUCCAAGGAACAGGGAACAGAACUUGAAUGUUAACAAAAAGCGAGCCGUUUAAUAAGGCUGGUAAAAAAAAAAAAGGGUACAAAGAAAGGGCAAGGCAAACUGAAGUAAACUGUCAACAUCAACCUAAACUGGAAGAGCAAAAUAAACAACAAGAAAAACCUAGACAUGAAACAUGACACGAAAACCUUGGCAUGAACAACAGACGACCUGACAAAGAAUGAACAGAAACACACAGACUAAAUACACACAAGGGUGAUUAGGGGAAGUGAAAGACAUGCAGCUUGAACAUUUAAGGGGAAAAGGGAGACUAAAACACAGGGGUAGAAGACACAAGGGGAAUCUAAAUAAACAAAUGAGCUUAGAUAACCUAAUGAACUAAAAAAUAAACCAUAAACAUCAAAAUAAACUAAAACUCAAAACGCUGGGUCAACAGACCCAGGAACGUGACAUGCUUUUGUAUGGAUGGAAGCAUAUUUGGAUUGCAGUGGUUAUCAGCAGUGGCUCGGUGUUUCAGUUUCCAGACACUUUACUUGAAUUCAGUUUGGUUUAUAUUACAUCAAAUCACAACAGCAAUCAAAGUGCUUUAUAUCAUAAAGUAACUGCCCUAGUGAGAAACCCCACAAAUCAGACUACCCUCCAUGAGCAAGUACUUGGCGACCG